CCGUCUAUUUCAGGUUCAUCUAUAAUGGUCUUAGUUCUGCAAAAUCCUUCAGUUCAUUCAUCCAUGGUUGAUAUUAUUUGAAAAUACGAAAUUUUGUUUGAGGUAAGCAGUUUGUUAAGUACAUAUAUGUAUGUGCAUUUAUCAGGUUUCCGUCCUGAUUUAUAGAAGUGUAAGUAGGAGUAUGUAUUAUUCACACAAGUUGGUGGUAGUGUAAGCCUACUUGUGGUAUCACAAGUAAUCCCUCUAUUUUUAUUAACUUCGCAUAUAGAUUUUGUUUUAAGUCAAAAAAAAGUUUCGUCAAGUUUAUGGAAAAAAGACAUCAACAAUUAGAAUACCAAAUCAAUGUCAUUAGAUCCUUCAUAGAAUAUAUUUUCAUACUAUACCUAUUUGGUAUUGUAGAUGUUGCUACUUUUUUAUAAAAAGUUGGUCAAACUUUACUAAAUUUGACUUAAGACAAACCUAAUAUGCGAAGUAAAUAGAAACAAAGGGAAUAUUAUGAAGUAUUUUUUUUUUUGCUUGCCUUGAUAUGUCAAAAUGUCAGAUGGCUCUAAGUACAUUUCAGCCUCAUUAACAAUCCGGAUAAUUGCCAUUUCAUCCUUUGAUCCACAUUGAAUAUGACAUGUAGAUUAAAACCAACAAGACAUAAAACUAUAUAUUAUUCAGUGUCAUACACUCUUCUUCUAAUUAUUACCUAAUAUAUAGGUUAGCUUAUUUAAAUUUACUUUGUUAUAUUUGGAAAUUACUAUCAUCAUGGUCCAUAUUCCACAAUCGUUUUUGCACUUUCAUGACUUAUUAAAUGCUGUUGUUAUAGAGUUAUGAUUAAACUUAUGAGAUGUUGGAAAAAAAUUGUAGGUGGUAUUGUUAGAUGCUAUGGGAAACAUGUCAACUUCAUGUGCAAUGGAAGGAAAAGGGCGGCCUUAUUGAGGUAUGGUUGGAGGCUUCGAGCACGAAGAUAAACUUAAAAAUAAAGAAGAGCCUGCGUAAAAUGAUCAAUAUUUUGUUUGAGUGUAUGAGAAUGGAUCAAAGGUUCAAUGAAGUGUUUCACUCACCCAUUGGGUUCAAUUAUUUCAUGCCUUUGUAUAUUAAUCACAAUUCAUAUUAUUUCAUUGGAAAAAUGGACGGGCGCAGCAACGCACGCCAUCAUGGUCUAGUAUAGAACAUAGGAUGACAGACUUGUACAACAUUCGUACCAUUUCAAUGUUGUUGUAUCAUGUGAACUUGUAAAACUUCUGUACUAUGAGAACUGCAAUGAAAGAUAUGUUUUCUU
This 1267-nucleotide long non-coding RNA is filed under the name Triticum aestivum (bread wheat). Its description in RNAcentral is "long non-coding RNA (TAES_LNC011597)". The record is from RNAcentral. Lineage: Eukaryota; Viridiplantae; Streptophyta; Magnoliopsida; Poales; Poaceae.